GCCGGGCGUGGUGGCUCACGCCUGUAAUCCCAGCACUUUGGGAGGCCGAGGCGGGCGAAUCACCUGAGGCCAGGAGUUCUAGACCAACCAGGCCAACAUGGUGAAACCCCGUCUCUA
RNAcentral lists this non-coding RNA (117 nucleotides) under Nomascus leucogenys (northern white-cheeked gibbon). The record is from Rfam by way of RNAcentral. Lineage: Eukaryota; Metazoa; Chordata; Mammalia; Primates; Hylobatidae.